Molecule: unclassified non-coding RNA, 344 nt
Filed under: soil metagenome
Description: partial contains 5.8S ribosomal RNA, internal transcribed spacer 2, and large subunit ribosomal RNA
Rfam family: 5.8S ribosomal RNA (bases 1-119)
Source: RNAcentral
GAUGAAGAACGUAGCGAAAUGCGAUACGUAAUGUGAAUUGCAAAUUCAGUGAAUCAUCGAGUCUUUGAACGCACAUUGCGCCCCCUGGUAUUCCGGGGGGCAUGCCUGUCCGAGCGUCAUUGCUGCCCUCAAGCACGGCUUGUGUGUUGGGCCCCGUCCUCCGAUUCCGGGGGACGGGCCCGAAAGGCAGCGGCGGCACCGCGUCCGGUCCUCGAGCGUAUGGGGCUUUGUCACCCGCUCUGUAGGCCCGGCCGGCGCUUGCCGAUCAACCCAAAUUUUUAUCCAGGUUGACCUCGGAUCAGGUAGGGAUACCCGCUGAACUUAAGCAUAUCAAUAGCGGAGGA